AUUGAACGCUGGCGGCAGGCCUAACACAUGCAAGUCGAGCGGAACGGCGGACGGGUGAGUAAUGCCUGGGAAGCUGCCUGCUAGUGGGGGGUAACGUACGGCAACGAGCGCUAGUACCGCCUGCUAUCAGCUGACGCUAGGUUGGAUUAGCUAGUUGGUGGGGUAAAGGCCUACCAAGGCGACGAUCCGUAACUGGGCUGAGAGGAUGAUCAGUCACACUGGAACUGAGACACGGUCCAGACUCCUACGGGAGGCAGCAGUGGGGAAUAUUGGACAAUGGGCGAAAGCCUGAUCCAGCCAUGCCGCGUGUGUGAAGAAGGUCUUCGGAUUGUAAAGCACUUUAAGUUGGGAGGCGUUACCAACAGAAUAAGCACCGGCUAACUUCGUGCCAGCAGCCGCGGUAAUAC
This 407-nucleotide ribosomal RNA is filed under the name uncultured bacterium. RNAcentral's name for it is "partial 16S ribosomal RNA". It matches the Rfam family "Bacterial small subunit ribosomal RNA", at positions 30 to 526 of the family's 1533-position model. The record is from RNAcentral.